This 1463-nucleotide long non-coding RNA is filed under the name Aedes aegypti (yellow fever mosquito). Its description in RNAcentral is "lncRNA AAEL022472". Lineage: Eukaryota; Metazoa; Arthropoda; Insecta; Diptera; Culicidae. The record is from RNAcentral.
GUUACGUUUAAGUUUGUUUGUAGGAGAGAAUAUGUACAUUUCAGUUAGACAAACUAUCGAGAACACAAAGUGAACAUAAAUUUAAAGCUACCCUGGACCGCGAACCGCCGCUCAGGAACCCCUGCAUAAUUUUUGAUCAACCUACUGCUGAACAGCGAGGCAGUAGCACUCUCAAGCUAUCGGUUGGAGAAAAGCGCCAAUUCACACACGCACACCGACUUGUCGAUUUAGACAUCACCAGCAUCGAAAGAUCAGUCGGAAUCAGAGCGGUGAGAAAACGACGCCGCUCAUCACAAAAACCAUACACUGGUAGCAUCCAUCCGCAAACCAUCACAGCUUCGAUGGACAAGCGAAGGAGAUAGAGAGCUCCUGCAUGCGGCGAGCGUAAUGUCUGAACACGAAGACAGCGUCACUCUCGUGAGAGUGAGCGAACAUCUCUCGCUUCCACUCAACAAAAUCUGCGGUGCGAUCGUCGGACGACGUAAAUCGAGAGUGGGCUAUUCAAAUCCAGUCCGUCAAGGUAACCACACGCGAAGAGCCUCGUCGCGAACAGUUCGGAAACCGGUUCAAAGUUAGCAGUGGGAUUUAUCCGCAAAAUCGGCCAUCUUGAGUCAGCGCAAAGUACGGUAGUGAAAAUUCGCAGAUGCGAAAGUGAUUGCAACGUACGAAUGUAAUUGCAAGUGGAAGUUUUCGCUGGUUUGCGUAGAAACGGCAACAUUUGCGCCAGCCAGAUCCACCAUUUUGCGAAUCGAAACCACGUUUCAACAGCAAACUGGCGUGGACAAAUAUUCAUCCACUGACGGAAAGAACCGGGCCAAAACGUCGCAAGCGUCGAGAUCAGUGAUUCCCAAACUGAAGAACACCGUCGUCAUCUGGCCGUGGAUCGUCACCAAAGAAAGACCGUCACAUCAUCGUCGGAUCAGUGCGUUUACCAUGCGACCAAAAAAGCCUUCCUAGGAAGGCUUUUUUCUUUUGGGCUCAAUUGCAGUUAACCGCUCACUUUGAGCAUCAGGACGGCCGGCCAUUCAGAUCAGGACGAGAGGGACGAUUGUUGGUGUGGCAGCGAAGAGUGGGCGAAGUACGACGUCGGUUGGGGACUGGUUGCAGACCGGAUCAAACCACGACCACAACACCUUGAAGAACGGAUUGGAGGAUUUUGAGGAGAGCCACGCUGCACGAUCGAAUCGCCCGUUCGGUGGCCAGGAACUUCAGCCGCUCGGGUAGCGAUCAAGUGUGCAGCUGCGAUUGAUGUUGGAGCGGAUGAUGGUUGCUGGGCAGAGGGCCAACAUGCUUGGCCGCGAUUGCGAUGCAAGGCAGGGUAAGGAGCGAGACGGCGGUUCGGCCGACAAAAAGGGUGCACCCAAGAAGAGCGCGCGCGCGUGAGUAAUAAGCCAUAAGAAAACUGAAUACUAGAAUUAAGAAAGAUAUCAAGCAAGGAUGAGUAGGAGGCAGGCUAUCUAAGA